UCGAUUCCCUUAGUAGCGGCGAGCGAAACGGGAAGAGCCCAAACCAACAAGCUUGCUUGUUGGGGUUGUAGGACACUCUAUACGGAGUUACAAAGGACGACAUUAGACGAAUCAUCUGGAAAGAUGAAUCAAAGAAGGUAAUAAUCCUGUAGUCGAAAAUGUUGUCUCUCUUGAGUGGAUCCUGAGUACGACGGAGCACGUGAAAUUCCGUCGGAAUCUGGGAGGACCAUCUCCUAAGGCUAAAUACUCUCUAGUGACCGAUAGUGAACCAGUACCGUGAGGGAAAGGUGAAAAGCACCCCGGAAGGGGAGUGAAAUAGAACCUGAAACCGUGUGCUUACAAGUAGUCAGAGCCCGUUAAUGGGUGAUGGCGUGCCUUUUGUAGAAUGAACCGGCGAGUUACGAUUUGAUGCAAGGUUAAGCAGUAAAUGUGGAGCCGUAGCGAAAGCGAGUCUGAAUAGGGCGUUUAGUAUUUGGUCGUAGACCCGAAACCAGGUGAUCUACCCUUGGUCA
Molecule: ribosomal RNA, 512 nt
Filed under: Staphylococcus aureus
Lineage: Bacteria; Bacillati; Bacillota; Bacilli; Caryophanales; Staphylococcaceae
Description: partial 23S ribosomal RNA
Rfam family: Bacterial large subunit ribosomal RNA
Source: RNAcentral